UAUGUCAAAAUUCAAGGCAGUAUCUACAGC
RNAcentral lists this small RNA (30 nucleotides) under Bombyx mori (domestic silkworm). RNAcentral's name for it is "ovarian small RNA-24010". Lineage: Eukaryota; Metazoa; Arthropoda; Insecta; Lepidoptera; Bombycidae. The record is from RNAcentral.